AGGACGAACGCUGGCGGCGUGCCUAACACAUGCAAGUGGAGCGACGAACCAGGCUUCGGCCUGGGGCAGAGCCGCGAACGGGUGAGUAACACGUGGGUAACCUGCCCUGAUGAUUGGGACAACCCGAGGAAACUCGGGCUAAUACCGAAUGUGCCCUCUGGCCUCAAGGCCUCUGGGGAAAGGAAGCUUCGGCCUCCGCAUCGGGAUGGGCCCGCGGCCCAUUAGCUUGUUGGUGAGGUAACGGCUCACCAAGGCAACGAUGGGUAGCUGGUCUGAGAGGACGAUCAGCCACACUGGGACUGAGACACGGCCCAGACUCCUACGGGAGGCAGCAGUGGGGAAUAUUGGACAAUGGGCGCAAGCCUGAUCCAGCAAUGCCGCGUGUGUGAAGAAGGCCUUCGGGUUGUAAGCACUUUUAUCAGGAACGAAAUACCACGGGUUAAUAACCUAUGGGCUGACGGUACCUGAGGAAUAAGCACCGGCUAACUUCGCGCCAGCAGCCGA
This 504-nucleotide ribosomal RNA is filed under the name uncultured bacterium. Its description in RNAcentral is "SSU rRNA". It matches the Rfam family "Bacterial small subunit ribosomal RNA", at positions 26 to 518 of the family's 1533-position model. The record is from RNAcentral.